This 496-nucleotide ribosomal RNA is filed under the name uncultured bacterium. RNAcentral's name for it is "partial 16S ribosomal RNA". It matches the Rfam family "Bacterial small subunit ribosomal RNA", at positions 29 to 507 of the family's 1533-position model. The record is from RNAcentral.
AUGAACGCUGGCGGCGUGCCUCAUACAUGCAAGUCGAGCGAACAGAUGAGGAGCUUGCUCCUCUGACGUUAGCGGCGGACGGGUGAGUAACACGUGGAUAACCUACCUAUAAGACUGGGAUAACUUCGGGAAACCGGAGCUAAUACCGGAUAAUAUAUUGAACCGCAUGGUUCAAUAGUGAAAGACGGUUUUGCUGUCACUUAUAGAUGGAUCCGCGCCGCAUUAGCUAGUUGGUAAGGUAACGGCUUACCAAGGCGACGAUGCGUAGCCGACCUGAGAGGGUGAUCGGCCACACUGGAACUGAGACACGGUCCAGACUCCUACGGGAGGCAGCAGUAGGAAAUCUUCCGCAAUGGGCGAAAGCCUGACGGAGCAACGCCGCGUGAGUGAUGAAGGUCUUCGGAUCGUAAAACUCUGUUAUUAGGGAAGAACAAAUGUGUAAGUAGCUAUGCACGUCUUGACGGUACCUAAUCAGAAAGCCACGGCUAACUACGUG